UGGCGGUGCUUUAGACUAUUCAGGGGAACCUGUCUCGUAAUCGAUAGUCCACGAUACACCUAACCUUUUUUAGUUAUCAGUAUGUAUACCGUCGUCGUCAGGUAACUUUUAAAAACAAAGAAGUUAGCGAUAAAAAUUAUGAUAAUUUUGUACGUCAGAUCAAGGUGCAGCCUAUAAAAAGGUGAGGAUGGGUUACAAUUAAGAUUUAUAAUAACGGAAAAAAGCUUGAUACAGCUUUUAAUGAAGGAGGACUUGAAAGUAAAAUUGUUAUAUACAAAUUUUUUGAAUUUAGCUCUGAAGCGUGC
RNAcentral lists this ribosomal RNA (305 nucleotides) under Alviniconcha aff. hessleri SBJ-2010. RNAcentral's name for it is "partial 12S ribosomal RNA". Lineage: Eukaryota; Metazoa; Mollusca; Gastropoda; Provannidae. The record is from RNAcentral.